CGAGAGUGGCGGACGGGUGAGUAAUGCGUAGGAAUCUGCCUUAUAGUGGGGGAUAACCCGGGGAAACUCGGGCUAAUACCGCAUAAUCUCCGUCUUUGUUUGGAUAGAGUAAAGUGGGGGAUCUUCGGACCUCGCGCUAUAAGAUGAGCCUAUGUCGGAUUAGCUUGUUGGUGGGGUAAUAGCCUACCAAGGCGACGAUCCGUAGCUGGUCUGAGAGGACGAUCAGCCACACUGGGACUGAGACACGGCCCAGACUCCUACGGGAGGCAGCAGUGGGGAAUCUUGGACAAUGGGGGAAACCCUGAUCCAGCAAU
Molecule: ribosomal RNA, 314 nt
Filed under: Coxiella endosymbiont of Amblyomma gemma
Lineage: Bacteria; Pseudomonadati; Pseudomonadota; Gammaproteobacteria; Legionellales; Coxiellaceae
Description: bacterial SSU rRNA
Rfam family: Bacterial small subunit ribosomal RNA
Source: RNAcentral